CCUACGGGAGGCAGCAGUGGGGAAUUUUGGACAAUGGGCGAAAGCCUGAUCCAGCAAUGCCGCGUGAGUGAAGAAGGCCUUCGGGUUGUAAAGCUCUUUUGUCAGGGAAGAAACGGCCUGUUCUAAUACAGUGGGCUAAUGACGGUACCUGAAGAAUAAGCACCGGCUAACUACGUGCCAGCAGCCGCGGUAAUACGUAGGGUGCAAGCGUUAAUCGGAAUUACUGGGCGUAAAGCGUGCGCAGGCGGUUUUGUAAGUCUGUCGUGAAAUCCCCGGGCUCAACCUGGGAAUGGCGAUGGAGACUGCAAGGCUAGAGUUUGGCAGAGGGGGGUAGAAUUCCACGUGUAGCAGUGAAAUGCGUAGAUAUGUGGAGGAACACCGAUGGCGAAGGCAGCCCCCUGGGUCAAGACUGACGCUCAUGCACGAAAGCGUGGGGAGCAAACAGGAUUAGAUACCCUGGUAGUCCACGCCCUAAACGAUGUCUACUAGUUGUCGGGUCUUAAUUGACUUGGUAACGCAGCUAACGCGUGAAGUGACCGCCUGGGGAUCGGUCGCAAGNUUAAAACGUCAAAGGAUUGACGGCUGNGAGNGCGACGACGACGACGAGGAGGAGG
Molecule: ribosomal RNA, 614 nt
Filed under: uncultured bacterium
Lineage: Bacteria
Description: bacterial SSU rRNA
Rfam family: Bacterial small subunit ribosomal RNA
Source: RNAcentral